UGCUUACCAUUCCUGUCCAAUCUAUUCUAUUCUUCUCUAUUCAGGUCCCUCAUCUGAGAAACUCCAUAGACAACAGGAGGAGGGGUAGAGAAUCCAUUGUUCCCAGCCUGGUGUAAGAAUCCUGUGAAAGGACAGCUGUGUAGGUCAAGGUGGCAAGGAUCAUGCAAUGGUCUGUCUGUUCCAGCUCACUGCAAAUUAAGAGUCAUGGAAUUUGUAAUAGGGUAAUCUGCAUUUCAUAAAUUAGUUUGUCUCCUUUCUCAGGUGGAAAAAGAAAUACAGUACAAUAAGUUAAAAUGUAUUUGCAGUUCUAGACAAAUAUAAACUGCCACCUAAAGAGUUUCUGUCACUAAUCUCAUUCUCUUAAUCUCUACAAGAUUUUGUCAAGAAAAAAUAAAGUCAAAACUCAUUAAGGCAUAAGUUUAAGACAGAAAAAAAUCAAAACUUUAUGCUAAGUUCCAUCCAAUCAUCUUGGAUUUCCAAAAUUCUCUAUUUGCCUUUGUUGAUGAAACAUCCAUAUUAAUCAAGUUCUAGGUUUUUCCCACCUCUAAGAAAAUGUUAUACCUUGAGACUUUUUUCUUUUACCCUAUAGAAAGAUUGCUAAAAAUAUUCUUUUAUUUAUAUGUGGAUGAUAGAUUGUCAUUUUUCCAAUAAAACUUUAUUUUUUCUGAUUACAUACAAAUUUUUAAGAAUCAAAUACAAAAACCAUAAUAGAAACAAAAAGUGGAAAGCAGAUAUCUGAGUUUAUGAGUCCUAAUGUUCUGGAAUAGGAUUGAGAUAGAGGCUGGGGUUGUGGCUCAGCAGUAGAGUGCUUGCCUAGCGUGUGUGAGGCACUAGGUUUGAUCCUCAGCACCACAUAAAAAUAAAGGUAUUAUAUCCACUUAAAACUAAAAACAAAAAUAUAUUUUUUUAAAAAAGGAUCGAGAUAAAGUUUAGGCUUUAUAAAUAAAAAUGUAAAAAUUUACAUAAAAAUAAAAUGUGCAACUGCAAGUUUGAAACAAAGCAUGAAAUCUGACAGCAGGAAAAGUGAAAGUUGCAUUUAAAAAGGCAAGGUAAAUAGUAAAAAUAAAGGCAGAAAAAAUAAAAGUAUACCAGUUAGUAUUAUUGGUAAUACUAAUAUUAUUAACUGCAAGUGAGUUAAACUCCCUAUGAUGAAUAAACACUUUUUUUAUAGGCACUUAAAUCGUUUUAUAAUUAUAAUAUAAAUAAGACUCAAAGCAUCUUAUUUCCAGUGGUUAGAGUUGAUCAUCAGACACAUUGCUACCCUGUGGUACACAACAUAUCUGACAAACAUAUCUGACACUACACAGGCAACAAUGGAGUAUGUCACUUUAUGAAGGGUACCCUCUUCCUCUGGUCUGAAGUACAGUGUGGAGUUUCUGAGAUGUAGGAGCAGUGAGGAAAGAAACUACAGGACCAAAAUUGUCUUUUCUGUACUGUUAUUUGAAUUGCUUCUUUGAACAUUUGUUACUGAUUUAACAGGCAGUUACUCAGUUUUAGGGGUUGGUUUUCUUUCUUUUCUUUUUUUUUCUUUUUGCUUAAGAUUAUAGAAAAUUUCAAACAUACAAAAAAGGUAAAGAGGAACGUACAAUGAAUUCCCAUCUAUGUACUUCACACCUACUUAAUAAAAUUGUUUUCUCACAUUUCCAGAUGUCUUUGACAUUUAGUAUUCUAGUACUGGACAUAUAUGUAUAUUGUUCUGCAGAGAGCUUUCCUGUGGGAAGCCAUCCUGACACGUGACUGGGCGGCUCCCGUUAAGGGUCUGAGGCUUCUGGCUGUGUCGGAAUUUUCCCGGCCCUUUCCUGAUGAGAGAACCCGUCCGUGUGGGGGUGUGACUGACCACUGACCCCGGGGGCCCAAUCACUGACCCUGACCUUGGAGUGCAGUCCCCCCUCAACCUUCAUUGGAUGGAAUUAUCCCCUGAAUUUCUUGUUCCCCAAUAAAAGGCUACUCCCUGGCGUGUUCACUCUCUCUCUCUCCUGCUAGCCCUGAGUAAUCCUUGCUGCCCUGCUGGGCGGUUAGAGGUUGGAGCCAG
This 2032-nucleotide long non-coding RNA is filed under the name Marmota monax (woodchuck). The record is from RNAcentral. Lineage: Eukaryota; Metazoa; Chordata; Mammalia; Rodentia; Sciuridae.